GCAAGACUGCAGCUCAAGCCCCCUGGCCCAUGUUAUGCUACCGCUCAAGAGUAAACGCAGAGCCUUCUGAUAUCUGCUGAACACACACGCUGCUCGCUCACGUUUAUAAUUAUUCAUCUGCAUCUGGUAAUGAGUGGCAUGGCAGAGCGGAGAACACCAAAGCACUGGGUCUCCUUCACCACAGUCUCCGCUAAUGCGUCCUAGGCUAAUGCACAUGUGGAAGCAUCUCCCAGACCUGUGGACAGCUGUGUGCCACCGAGAGAUUUGCAGGGGCAGGCUGCGACUAGUUAACAGAGUUGGCAAGGCACUCUGCACACGCUCAAGGAAUUCUAUACUGGAGAGCCAACUCCUAGGAACUGAAAGCUGGUUCAAGGACUAAUGCUAUGGACACACUUGCAGACCGACAGCUGGUAUAGCACAGUGGGGAGGACAGCCUGGUUGGGAGUCCAGAGUCUGAGUUCCAAUCCCCGCUUGUGUCUCCUGGCUGUCAAGAGCCAGCUAAAGAUCACCCCCACAGUUCCUCACUUUCUGCAUACAUGCUGGGAUUUCUGCAAGACCAACAAAAGAACCAACAUUUGAGAAUAGCAGUAGC
Molecule: long non-coding RNA, 592 nt
Organism: Rhineura floridana
Lineage: Eukaryota; Metazoa; Chordata; Lepidosauria; Squamata; Rhineuridae
Exons: 4
Source: RefSeq, a predicted model, not a curated record